ACAGUUUUUAGUUUUAACUUUACAGGAAGCUUGUAAUAACAUGGUGGUGAUGGCUUCUCUGCACACGCUCCCAUCUCCAUUGCCAACUACAACUACUUCUUCUUCAUCAGAAUCUUCAGAUAAUAAGAGUCUAGUUAUUCCAAGAAGAAAAGCCAUUGUCUCUGGUUCAACAGUUGCAAUGGCUUCUUUUCUUCAGUUGUCUAACCCCAUUUCUUCUGUAUAUUCUGCUAUGGCCUUCCAACAACAAGAAGAGGAACUUGACGAAGAAGAAGAUAGAAUUGUUCGUCUCUUUCAGGAAACUUCACCCUCGGUUGUCUUUAUAGAAGACCUUGAGUUGGCAACAAUCCCAAAGAGCUCUUCCCACGAUGUCACACUUGCUGAGGAUGAAGAUGCAAAAGUUGAAGGGACAGGUUCGGGCUUUAUCUGGGAUAAGUUUGGUCACAUUGUUACUAAUUACCAUGUUGUAGAUAAAUUGGCUACAGACCAAAGUGGGUUACAACGUUGUAAGGUGUUUCUAGUUGACGCUAGAGGCACUAGCUUUUACAAAGAAGGAAAAAUUGUUGGUAUUGAUCCAGCCUAUGAUUUAGCUGUUUUAAAGGUUGAUGUUGAGGGCUAUGAAUUAAAGCCUGUUAUUCUUGGUACUUCUCGUGAUUUACGUGUGGGGCAGAGCUGCUUCGCCAUCGGAAGUCCCUUUGGAUAUGAGAACACUCUAACAACUGGGGUGGUUAGUGGAUUAGGCAGAGAGAUACCUUCCCCAAAUGGAAGGGCUAUUCGAGGAGCAAUUCAAACAGAUGCUGCUAUUAAUGCAGGCAAUUCAGGUGGACCGUUGAUUGAUUCCUAUGGCCAUGUCAUCGGAGUUAACACAGCAACUUUCACUCGGAAAGGGACAGGAGUUUCCUCUGGUGUGAACUUUGCAAUACCAAUCGACACUGUCGUGCGAACUGUACCAUAUCUUAUUGUAUAUGGAACACCAUACAGUGACAGGUUUUGAUCAAAAUUUUUCUUCUGUAAUCAAACAAACACUUCAAGCAGUACAAGUUUGAUAGUAAUAUUUGGCUUGAAAAAGGUGAUAGUAAGUUGAUUUAUCUCUUAUGCUGUAAAUAGCUCUGGGUAUUAUCUGGAGAAUUAUCAGGGAUAAUUAAGCAAUGCAGACAGAAUAUCCCAAUUGGUCUUCAAAUUUGAGACAUCAGUGCAGAAACCAUAAGUCCAUUUACAAGUUUUAAUGUUUUAUAUAGUCGCAAGCCCGGAUUUUGUGAUGAACGCAUAAUUUUUUAAUUGAUGAAUGACAUUUUUAAAGAGGUAUUACAAUAUAAAUUCUCUUUACUUCUCUUUUCAUGGACUAACUAUAAUGUUCUAUGGCAGUUAAUAAUUGGGUUUUUUGCAUCCAAAGUAUUAAAGGACAAGAAGUACUACUCAACAUUAACUUCUUUUUCAUACAAAUGGGAAGAGUUAGAUAAGCCGAAGUUUGAAUAGGUUGAAUACUCACAAUUGCUCGGAAUUUCAAUGGAAUCAAUGGGUGAAUUUUUUUGUGAAUAUAUAUAUAUAUAUAUUCAGCUGUUUAUGUGUAUAUUGCCUUUGUUUUCGUUUAAAAGAAAAUACUGUCUGGCGUUAUCCCUCUCCUUUCAUAUUGCAUUUACCAAAAGAAUUUCCAUUCAUGUUGCAUGCUUGCAUGAUAGCUUGGAAUGGAGCAAAAUGCGGAUUACUAAGCCUACACUCCUCUUCCAUAUUUAUUUCCAAUCGUUAGCAAAUUUCCCGUUGUUGAUUCUCUUGCCAGAUCAAAAAGCUAUCAUUGGAAACCCUAGCGAAUAAAUGUUGUUCAAUUUGGAAUGUGGUUUUAAAACCAAAAUCUUCAAAUUUGGAAACUGAUGGAAGUAGAAAUAUAAAGGCAAAAGAAGAAAACUUUAAUAGACAGAAGAGGUUUGUUUCAUCAGAAUAAAAGACUGAGUUGGC
Molecule: RNA transcript, 1950 nt
Organism: Theobroma umbraticum
Lineage: Eukaryota; Viridiplantae; Streptophyta; Magnoliopsida; Malvales; Malvaceae
Gene: DEG5
Gene name: DEGP protease 5
Source: RefSeq, a predicted model, not a curated record